AACGCUGGCAGCGUGGAUUAGGCAUGCAAGUCGAACGGGAUUCUGUGCCGCCGCAAGGCGGUGCGGAUGAUAGUGGCGGAAGGGUGCGUAACGCGUGGGUAAUCUACCUCUAAGUUGGGGAUAACUUCGCGAAAGCGAGGCUAAUACCGAAUGUGAUGGUGCUACGCAUGUGGCAUUGAUUGAAGAUGGGGAUCCUUCGGGACCUGUCGCUUGGAGAGGAACCCGCGUCCUAUCAGCUUGUUGGUGAGGUAACGGCCCACCAAGGCUUACGGGUAGCUGGUCUGAGAGGAUGGUCAGCCACACUGGGACUGAGACACUGCCCAGACUCCUACGGGAGGCUGCAGUCGAGGAUCAUUCGCAAUGCGCGAAAGCGUGACGAUGCGACGCUGCGUGGAGGAUGAAGGCCUUCGGGUUGUAAACUCCUGUCAUUCGGGAACAAUGAUUCCGCUACGAAUACUAGCGGGAAGUGAUAGUACCGGAAGAGGAAGCCACGGCUAACUCUGUGCCAGCAGCCGCGGUAAUACAGAGGUGGCGAGCGUUGUUCGGAUUUACUGGGCGUAAAGGGUGCGUAGGUGGCUUGGCGUGUCGGAUGUGAAAGCUCACUGCUUAACGGUGAAACGGCAUUCGAAACUGCUUAGCUUGAGUGCAGGAGAGGAGAGCGGAAUUCUUGGUGUAGCGGUGGAAUGCGUUGAUAUCAAGAGGAACACCGGUGGCGUAGGCGGCUCUCUGGAAUGCAACUGACACUGAGGCACGAAAGUUGGGGGAGCAAACAGGAUUAGAUACCCUGGUAGUCCCAACCCUAAACGGUGUACACUUGGUGUGGGGAGAAUUGACCCUCUCCGUGCCGGAGCUAACGCGUUAAGUGUACCGCCUGGGGAGUACGGU
RNAcentral lists this ribosomal RNA (885 nucleotides) under uncultured bacterium. RNAcentral's name for it is "bacterial SSU rRNA". It matches the Rfam family "Bacterial small subunit ribosomal RNA", at positions 32 to 886 of the family's 1533-position model. The record is from RNAcentral.